CGCGGCUUCCGGACCCGCUGGGAAGUGGGGCAGAGGCGAAGGCGGCGGCCGGGGCUGUGGGCCGGGAUCCGGGAUCGGCGGGGCCGGGGAGGACGGAGCAGGGGAGAGAACAGUGUGGGGGGAUUCGUCAUCGAACGUGGGCUUCGUGAAUAGCCUGGUUGUGCUGCAGACCUGCAACAUGGAAAAGCAAGUGCUUGAAUCCUCAGAGGAGCGAACGUUUCAGUACCAAGAUUCUCUGCCUUCCCUGCCAGUACCUCCUCUUGAUGAAUCUUUGAGUAAAUAUCUUGAUGCAGUGAAGCCAUUUCUAAAUCAAGAAGAAUAUCAAAGAACCGAGAAUAUAGUUAAAAAAUUUGAAAAUGGCAUUGGUAAAGAGUUGCAUCAGAAAUUACUGGAAAGAGCUAAAAUGAGAAGGAAUUGGCUGGAGGACUGGUGGCUGAAUGUGGCUUAUCUUGAUCUUCGCAUCUCAACACAAAUACACUGUAAUAUGGGAGGCCCUGGUCCCUAUAUUGAACACUGCUGGCCACCAAAAGAGGGCUCUCAGAUAGACAGAGCAUGUGUAAAUACAUGGCACACCGUGAAAUACUGGGAUUUGUUGCGAGCAGAGAAGGUUGCUGUAGAGAGGUCUGGGAAUACUGUUCUGGACAUGAACCAAUUUCGGAUGCUCUUCUGCACUUGCAAAAUUCCUGGAAUUACUAGAGACUCGAUUGGCACUUACUUUAAAACUGAGGCUGAAGAUGAAUGCCCAUCUCACUUGAUCGUCCUGUGUCGAGGUCGGGUGUUUGCAUUUGAUGCUGUACAUGAAGGCAGCAUACUGACUCCUCCGGAGAUUUCCAGGCAACUUACAUAUAUACAGAAGAGAUGCCAUAGUGAACCAGAUGGACCAGGACUGGCAGCCCUAACAAGCAAUGAAAGGACCAAAUGGGCAGAGCUCCGGGAAUAUUUGAUUCAUCUUGAUCCAAAGAACUUAACUCUUCUGGAAAAAAUUCAGAGAAGUUUGUUUGUGGUCUGCCUUGAUGACUCUAGCCCCCAUUCAACUCCUGAGGACUACACCGAGCUUACAAGGCUGGGGCUAACAGGUGAUCCGACUGUGCGCUGGGGAGAUAAAUCCUACAACAGCAUAUUCUUUUCCAAUGGAACCUGUAGUGCAUUCUGUGACCAUUCUCCUUUUGAUGCCAUGGCUUUAAUUACCAUGUUAUCUUAUGCCGAAAAGAAGAUUAUUGAAAAUGAGGGAAAAUGGAAGGGAUCAGAUAAUGUGAGGGAUAUUCCAUGGCCAGAGGAACUUGUAUUCACAGUGGAUCCAAAAAUUAUAAAUGAAAUUGGACAUACUAAAGAAUUGUAUUACAAGAAGGUAUCUGACUUGCAGCUGGUGUCUUAUGCCUUCACAUCCUUUGGCAAAGCAUUGAUUAGAAAAAGUAAACUUCAUCCUGAUACAUUUGUGCAGCUUGCCCUUCAGCUUGCUUAUUACAAAUGCCAUGGACGUCCGGGCUGCUGUUACGAAACUGCCACGACCAGGCGUUUCUAUCAUGGCCGCACAGAGACCAUAAGACCAUGUACUGUGGAAGCAGUGGAAUGGUGCAAGUCCAUGCUGGAUCCCUCUGAGAGUACUUACCAACAGCUACAACUGAUGCAUAAGGCAUUUGCAAAGCACAAUAAAAUGAGGAAAGAAUGUGAGAAUGGAAAAGGCUUUGAUCGUCAUCUUCUGGGUCUCCUGCUCAUAGCACAGGAGCAAGGACUGCCAGUGCCAGAACUCUAUGGGGAUAAGGCCUUCACAGCCAGUGGAGGAGGUGGGAAUUUUGUCCUUUCAACUAGUCUGACUGGCUACACUAGGUUUAGUGGAUCUGCACUCCCUAUGGUACAACAUGGCUAUGGCUUUUUUUAUUCAAUUAGAGAUGACAGGAUCGUUACUACCUGUUCUUCUUGGAAAUCCUGUCCAGAGACUGAUGCAGAAGUGCUGUGCAGAACUCUGUUCCAGUAUUUUCAUGCCAUGCUGCAGUUAACAGUUACAGCUCAGCUGUAAGCUCAAUAAUGAUAAACAACUCAAUUUUCAGCUAACAUGGAACCAGUCUCUUUGCCCUCUGGAAGCUCUGUUGCAUAUUUUUUGUCCACAGUAGCAAGAAUACUUCCCCUUUUUAUUUCCUCCCUUAAUACCUGACACUUCUCUACAGUCUAGGGUAUGUUACACUGUGUCUUGUUGCCUCAAAAAAUGGUCUCCUCAUUUCAGCCUUUUGUUUCCUUGCCUUUACUGAGCUAUCUGUAUGUCUUGUCUCAGUUACAUAUGACAGGCAUCCAAUGUUUCAUAGUUUGAGAUCUUCCAAAACUCUGUAUAUACAGAGAAAGAAUCCAUCCCUGUUCUGCAAGUGCUUAUGAUAACCCACCCUCUUUCUCAGAGGUAAAUGACUUUCUGAAAUCUCAUGGGCAGUGAAGCCUGUGUCUUUAUGAUGCUGUGAUUUCUGUGAGAUAGAUUAGGAUUUUGGAUCAAGCUAUGCCUGAUGAUUUUUAUUCUUUAUUUUAAUAAGUUCUCUCUGAUAGUUACAACCUUUCACCUCCCUCAAUUGUGAUAAGGGCAGUUUGCUUUGAACAUUCAUUCAAAAAAGCCUGAAGUCUGAAGAAGGGUGUAAUUUUGCAUUUAUUUGCAUUUAUUUUCCAUACACCUACUCCUGCCUUUCUGAGGAUUUCUGGGAACAUAGAAACCCUGAGAGAAAUAAAGAAAAAGGGCAACAUUUUCAGAAAGUGAAUCAUUGAGAAAAUGGCAUUCAAUCACCAGCAUAAGCAGAAUUUCCUGUUCAGCUGAGACAGUUUUGAGUCUUGCCUAGAGAAACUGAAGCCAGAAGUGUAUCCAGGGAGAACAAAUUUAAAUUGUGUGAGUUGUUAGAGCUACUUGUUAUGUGCUGUGGAUGCAUGAAUUCAUGAAUGUGGUAUUAAUUUCCUUGUUGUGUAAAGCAUUUCAUCUCCAGUGCCUCUGCCCUCAAAGCCUCUCCCUGUUUUUGUACCCUUCUUCAUGAGCACAGGUGCUCUGUGCUGCAGAGCUGCUCUCCGUGCCUGGAGCUCUCCACCCAGUCCUUUGCUUUCAAUUUGGCAAGCCAGUGAGGUUUUUUCAGGACUGCUGUGUACUCUUUAAUUUGAGCAACGAUGAAUUUUGUGCUGGUGGAAGAGGGUUGGGCACUUAAAGCAAAUGUACUUCAGUUAUUUAUUAGUUACGGGUUUUAAGGAAACUAUUUAUGGAAUUGUACCAAAACCACGUGUAGUGAAACAUCCUUAAUAGUCUCAUCUAAAAGACUGAACCUGCCAUAUAGCUGCACUUCAGCAGCUGGUACUGCUCACUCUCGUGCAUUUCAUGUCCCACUUUGAACACUGACCAGAGAAUAGUAGAUGCCUUUUUCAGUCCAGAACUGCUGCUGAUUCUUUCUCUCUACAACCUUGCACUCUGAACCACAGCAAUCUUGUCAGCAUUUUCGAUGGUGGAGAGGUGGUGAGCUAUCAUGGUGCAUGUGUGACCUUUUCUGUCUUGAACUGACGCUUCCUGACAGUCUCCACAAUGGAAAAACCAAAAGAUUUGUACUCUCUGGAAUCCCACUGCCUUCACAGAAGCUCCUCAUAGUAUCUGUACCACUCUGAAUUGUUGCUCAUGGAUUGUACCAGGAGCUACUCGAUUCAUUAGGUAAGUGUAUGACAAAUUCUGCUGCUCAUAAAGAAGGCAUGAAAUUCAUUUGCUCUCUUUUAACUAUGUCAUUUCUGCACUUCCUUUCAAUGAGCGUAGGUUUUUUUUACUUCUGGUGUGUGAAGAUGGCAUUUCUCCACAGGCAGUAUUCCAGGAAGAACCUCGCUUUUAAAAAAGUAGAUUUCUACCUAGAGUUAAAAGUAGAUGCUUGAGACUUAUUUUCCUUCAAGUUUGCUUGAUAUACUGAGAGUAAAACAUUUUGCUGAAUUGCUAUGGAAGGACAUAUGGUUUAAAUACUGCCAGAAACUGGUGAUCUGCAAAAAACUGUUUCAAUGAAUAUAGUCUGCCAAAACCAGAUAUUCAGGUCAUCGCUUAACAGUCAUGUAACUCUUCUGACAAAUACUCUCCAAGGAAGUUGGCAUGAGAUGAUAAUCACCUGUAAACACCAUGGCUAUGAAAAAACUUUGAAAUAUUUCAGUGCAUUAGAAGGCACUCAACAAGUUUACUAAUUUGGCAAAACUUUGUGAAUAAUUAGAGGCAGUGUAAUGAAUUUUUUUUCUUUGUUACCUUAUCAUGUAAAGAAGAACACAUUUCUUUUUUUUAACACAUUUAUUCUUUUAAAAAUAAACUUUUCUAACUUCUUACUUUAAUGUGUAA
Corvus hawaiiensis (hawaiian crow) is the source of this 4315-nucleotide RNA transcript. It is a transcript of the gene named carnitine O-octanoyltransferase, with no coding region annotated. The record is from RefSeq and is a predicted model, not a curated record. The transcript is spliced from 19 exons. NCBI's taxonomy places the organism in Eukaryota, Metazoa, Chordata, Aves, Passeriformes, Corvidae.